RNAcentral lists this transfer RNA (73 nucleotides) under Fasciola hepatica (liver fluke). It matches the Rfam family "tRNA". Rfam says of the family: Transfer RNA (tRNA) molecules are approximately 80 nucleotides in length. Their secondary structure includes four short double-helical elements and three loops (D, anti-codon, and T loops). Further hydrogen bonds mediate the characteristic L-shaped molecular structure. tRNAs have two regions of fundamental functional importance: the anti-codon, which is responsible for specific mRNA codon recognition, and the 3' end, to which the tRNAs corresponding amino acid is attached (by aminoacyl-tRNA synthetases). tRNAs cope with the degeneracy of the genetic code in two manners: having more than one tRNA (with a specific anti-codon) for a particular amino acid; and 'wobble' base-pairing, i.e. permitting non-standard base-pairing at the 3rd anti-codon position. Lineage: Eukaryota; Metazoa; Platyhelminthes; Trematoda; Plagiorchiida; Fasciolidae. The record is from Rfam by way of RNAcentral.
GUCCGGAUAGCUUAAUCGGUAGAGCAUCAGACUUUUAGUCUGAGGGUUCAGGGUUCGAGCCCCUGUUCGGUCG